GUUGGAGUGGCAGAGAUUGGUAAGUGCAGAAGACCUAAGACCUUCAUUUCGAGGGCUCAAAUCCCUCCUCCAACU
RNAcentral lists this transfer RNA (75 nucleotides) under Protopterus aethiopicus (marbled lungfish). RNAcentral describes it as "tRNA-Leu (UUR)". It matches the Rfam family "tRNA". From Rfam's summary of the family: Transfer RNA (tRNA) molecules are approximately 80 nucleotides in length. Their secondary structure includes four short double-helical elements and three loops (D, anti-codon, and T loops). Lineage: Eukaryota; Metazoa; Chordata; Ceratodontiformes; Protopteridae. The record is from RNAcentral.